GAGAUACGAGUGAUUUUAUUGGUAGAGGUUUAUUUUGAUUUUAAUGUUUCAUUGGUUAAAUUAAACGAUUAUUGUUACUUUUUAAUUUGCAUACUUUAUGGUGUAACAAUUUAUAUUCAUACUUACUUUGGAAAGAUCGGUUGUCUCUCGGAUAAGCUUUGUCUUCUUCUGUCUCUGUAACCAAUAUCCCUGAAAAAAGUUAGCGGACUACGAGUGAAUGGCGGACUUUUAAAUUUUUCCUCAUCAAAUUAAAUGAUCAUUGCGAUCGUCAACUUUCUCUCAUCCUACUAAUCUUUUUGUUUCGUUUGAGAAAGAUUGAAUUAGCAUUUACGAGUAGCACGUGGGUGUUAUUUUCAAUGGAGUGACACUUUUAGAAAGAUGUGAAUCUAGGAUAACAGUGUUGUUAAUAAAAUAUAAGUCCAGAAAGCAGCCACUCUAAAUUCUUGGCAAAAAUUCUUUUUUCUCAAUUCGGUGUUAGAUACGGAAGACAAGUUGAACUAGUUAUUAAAUACGAUAUGCAUAUGCAGGUUGUAUAAAUUGAAAUACAUUCGUUCAUUCAUUACUUGAAUCUUAAUAGAGAAAGUAUCAAGCACAUUGGAAUACUCGAUACAUGUUAAUUAUGUCACUGAAUUUAUUUUCAAGUUCCAUAUUAUUUCCUAGUGUCUAUAAUUGGUACUGAUAUUAACGGGGAUAUUUUAAUAUGGUUAUCCGAGACAUACGUGUUAAUACUGUGUAUUAGAACAAUAUAUAUUUUUAUGAGAUAUAAAUAUAUACAGGGUGUCUCGAAAGGUUAGAACCAAACUUAUACUAUGCGUUAAUGAGGUCUAGUGGGUCAACAAAGUUCAUACAAACUUAUGUCAGAAAAUACUUUGCAGAAUAGUUAGAAGAGUGGAUGCAAAGUUAGGAUGUAACAUGCGAUACACGCAUACAACUUCUGUUAUAAACAACUGUUUUCGUGAGAAUUAAAAAGAGAAAGAUCUUACGAUCUUUAUUUUUACGUGGCUAAAGAUCACAGGGGGUCAUUCGAGCGAGUCUAAGAUCUUGAGAAAAAUAAAUCAAAUGAGCGAAUAACAACGGAAUCUGUUCUAACGAUCGGACUGCUACUUCAUUAUGUUUGAAAACA
Molecule: long non-coding RNA, 1123 nt
Filed under: Polistes fuscatus (common paper wasp)
Lineage: Eukaryota; Metazoa; Arthropoda; Insecta; Hymenoptera; Vespidae
Description: uncharacterized LOC122513227, transcript variant X1
Source: RNAcentral